Molecule: ribosomal RNA, 253 nt
Filed under: uncultured bacterium
Lineage: Bacteria
Description: partial 16S ribosomal RNA
Rfam family: Bacterial small subunit ribosomal RNA
Source: RNAcentral
UACGUAGGGUGCAAGCGUUGUCCGGAAUUAUUGGGCGUAAAGAGCUCGUAGGCGGUCUGUCGCGUCGGCUGUGAAAUCCCGAGGCUCAACCUCGGGUCUGCAGUCGAUACGGGCAAACUGGAGUGUUGCAGGGGAGACUGGAAUUCCUGGUGUAGCGGUGAAAUGCGCAGAUAUCAGGAGGAACACCUGAGGCGAAGGCGGCCAUCUGGUCUGCAACUGACGCUGAAGCACGAAAGCACGGGGAGCAAACAGG